ACACACACACACACACACAGCUUCCAAUGGCCGUGAGUAACGCUUCAUUCAAAUCCUUCAUUCCUGUAAAGCUGAUCUGUUGUGACAAAGUUGUGGAUCACAAAUGUCCCAGAACAUUUCUGAACAUUUCUGAAUAAAUUACCUACAUCACCUCUUCCAAUUAAAACCAUAUUAUUUUACAGAACAUAAAGUUAUUUAUCUGACUGUAAUGUGGUUCCUUCUCUUUCUGAACCGACUUGUUGACCUUGAAAGCAGCUGAUUGUGAGUUGGCAGGUGAAAUGUUGUGGUCGGUUCUCGGCUCCUGCAGGGUGCGACGCUAAUAAAACAGAAACGUGCAGCGGAGGGGAGCGUCCAGCGUCAGGUAAGCUGACGUCACAUCGCCGGUGGGAACAAACCGAAGAACCUCCUGACUGACGCAUCACAUCUGUCAUCCUGAGCGGCGUCUCGCCUUCAGCUGAGGCCCAGAGGCUCCAGGCAGCUAUUAGCAGAGCGCUAACGCCGAGCCGCAGCAUGGCUCUGCACAUGGCUCUGCACAUGGCUCUGCACAUGGCGCUGCACAUGGCUCUGCACAUGGCCGACAGGUAAACAGAGAAAACAAGCUGAGAACCCAGGUCUCUACCUUUGGCAUUAAUGGCUGCUGGAGGGAACCGUACAACUUUCUCCUACUACUCUCCAGUUAUUAACAUUCAUUUUCUGUUUUGUGCAAAUGCCGGGGCCUGUUUAUGGCAGAGCCGUUUCCCCACCUGAUGGUCCGGUAGAUUCAGUUUGAUUUGGACCAGAACUUCACCAUCUGCUCCACCUCCAGCUGCUCUGAGUCAAACCAACCUGUUCCCCUCCUGGCCUGUGGGGGCGCUGCACCAACAACCACUGAAGGAAACGACACAAAAACCUCUGAAGACACUGAGAGCAACUUCCUUCUUCACCAGAUGGAAACAAGAUGGAGGCAUCAGUGCUGUUUAGUUAGCACUGCUUAGCACUGCUAACUAAACAGACAUGAUAUUUAGCAGAAGCUAAAGCUAAAAUGCUAACCUUAACUCCUUGAACGAAAUUUUAUUAGAAAUAAGAAAUGAAUGAAGUGAUUGGAAAUUGUAUUAUACAUAAAUGUUUUCCUUUGUUAUUUGUUUGUUGGUUUUUAGAACUUUAUCUUUCGAUCUGCUUCUUUUUAUGGCCAAAUAAUUUUUGUUUCAGCAACCAGAACAUUUAAAUUUAAAUGAACAUCCAAACAUUUUGAGUUAGAAACAAAGUUAAAUAAAUCAGAUGGACUAAAUGUCAACGUCUUACUGAAACUGUAUGGUUUAUAUUUAACUGUCCUUUUUCAUAAAACACAACCAAUCACACAAGAACAAAUAUAAAAACGACAGAAAAAAGUCCAUUUUGAAUUCAACUCAUUAUUGCAGUUAAACUGGUACAGAUUAACAGAUUACAAAGCUCAUGGCACAGUCACUGAAAAAGAGAAAUGAGGCGUGUAUGUACAACAAGGAACGAAAAGUUAACAGCUCCGCUAAUAGAACCGAUGGAGGGGAACAAAAUGAGGAUCUGUAACCUGGGAGACGAG
This is a long non-coding RNA of Xiphophorus hellerii (green swordtail), 1555 nucleotides long. RefSeq lists it as uncharacterized. The transcript has 2 exons. NCBI's taxonomy places the organism in Eukaryota, Metazoa, Chordata, Actinopteri, Cyprinodontiformes, Poeciliidae. The record is from RefSeq and is a predicted model, not a curated record.